Molecule: long non-coding RNA, 2118 nt
Organism: Columba livia (rock pigeon)
Lineage: Eukaryota; Metazoa; Chordata; Aves; Columbiformes; Columbidae
Exons: 7
Source: RefSeq, a predicted model, not a curated record
GUUCUGACAGUCAGUGGAGCUAAGCUAUAGAAAAGAGGUAUCUUGAGACGACCUCCCUUCCCCUACCAUGGUGCUGAGCAGGUGGGGCAGGAGCCACCGAUUGGCAGCAUAUUGCGGUGAUGCUGUCUGGUCCGCAGAUGACCAGUCAGUGGAGCUGCUCCAGCCGAGGCUGCUACUUUGAUGUGACCGUGCAGUAGUUCCAAAACUUGUGAGGAUACUGAGAAGAUAACCCUGGAUAAAUACAUCACCACCUGGCAAAUGACAAGGCAAGUGGGAACGAAUGAAAACUGCGAAAGGAAAUAAGGCCAGACUACAAAAUCACUUGCUACUGAUUUCUGUCUUCCUUGCCCACUGGAGUCUCAGGAUGCUUUGUCCUAUAUAACAGAAGGAUUGCUGAGCUGUCUUGAAAGAAUUCAGAGACUAUGGAAUGCAGCCACUCUUCAUUUAUGAUUUGAGAAGAUAGGAUGGAAGUAAAGAAUGACCAGGCAAUACUCUUUGAAAAUUGGAGACCAUUUGCAGCUGCUCUCUGCUGAGGAAAGUGAAUAAUAGGGUGCCCUCAAGGAAUUUCAAAGAGGAUGAAAUAAUUCAGAGGUCUCCUUCUGCCAAUAUCCUUCCGGUAUUCCUGCAAGGCAGAGACUUAACAUGCAAGCAGGUCUUAAAAACGGUGCAGCUGAUAUGGAGAACUGGGAUGUGAGUAAAAUGCUUGGUCAGUUCUCUCUCUGACUGGCUAAAGGAUAUUUCCAGACUCUUCUUUUCAUUAAUCAUUUCCAGGAAAGAGAGAACAAUCAGCUCCCCAAGCCAGAUGAGGAGGGGCCCCUUCUGCUUCUCCUGUAGCACCACCAAGUGAUUGGAAGCAGAAGACGCUCAGAAGCGAUGGAGACACUGAGGCUGAACACAAGCCUUGUCUAGCAAAUCACAGGCCACAAUAAGCUGUAAAGCCUUGAAGGACAGUUAGGGACUAAAUAAACCCAGCUGAAUGUGUGUAUCUGAUCUGGAUAUGAUGACACUCUGGAAGAGGGUUUAAAAGCAAGCAGUGUAACUGGCAUAACUCAUCCUGUUAAAAUCAAGAGGAGUUUUAUAACAGGUUUAUAAUGGCAAUGGAGCUCAGCCAGAGCUGGGGGCUGUGGAACAGGAACCUACUAAACAGUGAAUCAGAAGACCAGUAUUUCUUAGUGAUAGUUUUCUUGUGGUUAUAAACCUUGUUACCAACAAGUGAGGCUUUUUCCAAACUGGAGUUUGUUCUUUGAGGCAGAUUUCUGCAGCUCUUUCUUCCCAAGCUGUUCAUGCUUUCAUAUGUGCCAUCAGAGUGCACUGCUGGGUUAGCUAGCAAAAGUCUUUUUCAAGGAAAGGUGUAUGUUUGCAAAAAUUUGAGUGUGACCCCAUGCUUCAAACACACAAACCUGUUGCCAUAGAUAUCAGCAUGAAGGAAACACAGGGAUUUAGGAAGGGAACAGAGAGAAAUAUUUAUUUCACUUUAAAAAGUGACCUUGGAAAUGUGCAUAUCAAUUAACCAGCAUCUGCCAAGAAGUUAUUCUACAAACAGAAAACUAAAGAGCUUGCAAAGAAGAAUUUUUUUCUUUCUGAAAGAGAUGGCUGCAUGCCCACAUGAAUUCUAUAUCUCCACAAAAAAUGUGUAUUUUUAAAAAUCUCUUAUCAGAUCUACCGAGAUGAAAUUAGUCUUGACUAGAAAUGCUGUUGAGAGCCAAGGAGAAUCGGGAAUUAGAAACUCCACAGUUGCAAAUUCUAGUUUAGUUCAUUUCACGUGUUCCUGCUGAGAAAGAGCAGAACCUUUGUGCCUCUGCAAUGUUUUCAUAACCCUUCCAAUACCCAGCUCUGAGUGAGAGACAUCUAUGGACAUCCACUGCAUGUCAAGUGCAAGAGAGAAAUGAAAGGUCUGAAGGAUCAGAGCUCAUCCUGGAGCAACUAAACCAGAGCUUUGGGCCAUAAUAGCACAGCCCUUAGACAGGACGAGCUCAUAUGAACUGAAUAAUUAAAUGUGUGUAUCUUCAGUAGUUUGGUUCUGUAUGUCAUUUUGUUACAGCUUAGUUGAACUUUCUGAUAGAAACAAAUUUCAGGAAUUUGGUACACCAGAGGAGAAAAAAAAGAAAAAAAAUAAAA